Molecule: ribosomal RNA, 449 nt
Filed under: uncultured bacterium
Lineage: Bacteria
Description: bacterial SSU rRNA
Rfam family: Bacterial small subunit ribosomal RNA
Source: RNAcentral
CCCCAGACUCCUACGGGAGGCAGCAGUGGGGAAUAUUGCACAAUGGGGGAAACCCUGAUGCAGCAACGCCGCGUGAGUGAAGAAGUAUUUCGGUAUGUAAAGCUCUAUCAGCAGGGAAGAGAAUGACGGUACCUGACUAAGAAGCCCCGGCUAACUACGUGCCAGCAGCCGCGGUAAUACGUAGGGGGCAAGCGUUAUCCGGAUUUACUGGGUGUAAAGGGAGCGUAGACGGCAGUGCAAGUCUGAAGUGAAGGGCGGGGGGGCAACACCCGAGCUGCUUUGGAAACUGUGCUGCUGGAGUGCAGGAGAGGCAAGUGGAAUUCCUAGUGUAGCGGUGAAAUGCGUAGAUAUUAGGAGGAACACCAGUGGCGAAGGCGGCUUGCUGGACUGUAACUGACGUUGAGGCUCGAAAGCGUGGGGAGCAAACAGGAUUAGAUACCCCUGUACAC